UACGUAGGGGGCAAGCGUUGUCCGGAUUUAUUGGGCGUAAAGAGCGUGUAGGCGGCCAGGUAGGUCUGCUGUGAAAACUCGAGGCUUAACCUCGAGCUGUCGGCGGAAACCAUCUGGCUAGAGUCCGGGAGAGGAGAGUGGAAUUCCUGGUGUAGCGGUGAAAUGCGCAGAUAUCAGGAAGAACACCCGUGGCGAAAGCGGCUCUCUGGAACGGUACUGACGCUGAGACGCGAAAGCGUGGUGAGCGAACAGG
Molecule: ribosomal RNA, 253 nt
Filed under: uncultured bacterium
Lineage: Bacteria
Description: partial 16S ribosomal RNA
Rfam family: Bacterial small subunit ribosomal RNA
Source: RNAcentral